Molecule: long non-coding RNA, 2256 nt
Organism: Antechinus flavipes (yellow-footed antechinus)
Lineage: Eukaryota; Metazoa; Chordata; Mammalia; Dasyuromorphia; Dasyuridae
Exons: 2
Source: RefSeq, a predicted model, not a curated record
CCGGCCCUGGGAAGGCUGGUACUGAUUCUGCAGUAACGCAGCCACUGAGCUCUUCUCAGCUCCGUUAAGCCCCACUAAUGCUGUCACCUUCUCAAGUGCAGAGUGAAUAUCACUCCCUAAAGGAACAAGAAGGGGAAGGCAUCAGGAGAGAGAGAGAGAGCCUGCCCCUGGUUGGGCAGGAGCCCAGACUCCCACCUUCACCACCCCCAUCUGUGCAAGGACAUCCUCACAGCAGGAGACAGGGCUGAGUCAUCAGAGUCCAGUGUCAAGACAAAAGUCAAGAAAAUUGGUGAUAGCCCAGGAUUCAUUGCAUGACAACAGCGUCUUAGAUGUCUGACCAAGCUUUAAGUACUCCACAAGCCCUGCUUCAGCCACCUUCAUGGCCUUGAAACAAAUUGUUCUCAUCUGCCCAUUCCUCUGGGGAAGUCUUCACGUGCUUGGGACAGACAUUGUGCAAUUCACAGACAGGUUUGAGGCCUGUCAGUUACUUUCAACCUGGUUUAGCCAUUUUCCCUGGGGUGUGGGCACUGCACCUGCUUCUUGGAGCCACAGGUGAGAGGUAAAUAGGGAAUUAGAGUUUAGUAGGGACUUGAACCAAGCAAAGCAUAGACUGUAGUAAUAAAAGCAUAAAAUUCAGAUCAAGGGAAGUGUUCUGAGCUGGUGAAUCAUAUAUAACAUUACAUCUGAGCUUUCACAUUUUAGGAGAGAUACUGCCAUAUUAAAGAGAACUUGGAGGAUGGUGAGUAAAAUGCUAAGAAGAGUCUGGGAAUCAUGUCACAUGAAGAAUGACAGAACAGGCUGGAUUUGUUUAAUUGUGAGAAGGAUUAGGGGUUACAUAAAAGUUCUCUUCAGACACUUGUAUAAUUAACACAAGGAAAAGGGGGGAAACUUAAAUCACUCUUUCUUUAGGGGGCAGAACUGAACAAAUGUAUGAGAAUUCUAGGGAGGCAGCUUGGGAUUGAAUAGUAAAAAUAACUUUGUAACAAUGAAAGUUACUAAGGGAUGUAAUUGGUUACUCCCCAGAGAAAUGUGUUCCCAGGCUCUGGAAAUGUUCAGAAAGAGGCUAGAUGACUUCUAUGUCAGGGAGGUUGUAGAAGGAAUUCUUACAUGGGGGAAAGAUUAGAAUGAAUGACUUUCAAAGUUCUAUGAAACAGGAUUCUAUGAUCUUUGGAGCAGCUUUGGGUGGAUCAGUGAUUGGGAAAGUGUCAGAGUACUCUAAUUUCCUGUCCCAUCCUGUCAGUUGGAAUGUAGGAAAGUAGAGACGUGAAAGUUCUGCAUAAACAAAAUGAAUGCUUAAAAGAUAAGAAGGGAAAUAAUGUUUGGACCCACUCCCGGUACUUUCCCUUCUGUUUCUAGAAGCACCAGUGAUGUGCUGGUCCCAACAAUAGAUUUUCUUUGCCCAGAAGAGGGCACCAAAUUCAAGCAAUUGUCUGCUCACAGCCUUUAAAUUUAGCAAAAUUCCAGGUAAACUUUCCCAAUCAGCUUAGGCUCUCCUCAUCCCGUCCUAGGACAAUAAAAGUCAAGAAUUCCAAUUUUUGGAUUUAGUCCAGAUCCAAUGGUCGUGUGAUGAAGUAAGCCAUCUGCACCCAGAUAGAGAGAGCAGUGGGAACUGAAUCUGAAACCUCAACAUAGUCUUUUCACUCUUUUUGUUGUUUGUUUGCAUUUUGUUUUCCUUCUCAUUUUUGUGAAAAAUGCUGAAAAGUUGGGUUUGCACAGUAGUGCAAGCAUUGGUUGAGAUAGUGGGUACCACUGACCAGGAGGUUUUCAGAAUUUGAGAGCUUAAGGAAAAUUAGGAUCACAGAACAAUUAAGUGAUCAAUAGAAACCUUGAGCAAACAAGAAAUUGGGGAGCUAGGAAGGCACAGGUGGAUUCACCCAAUCAGAAAGAGUCAGUGACCUGACUUGACUAAAUCACUAUUGUACUUGCUUAAUAGGCUAAUUGAAUAUUAAACAGCACACCACAGAGGAGGAGUUUUCCACCAUUUUUGAACAUGGGAUGUAUGAUGAGGGGUGAGAGUGUAUUUUAUACAUAUUAAGGGUAAAAUUGUAGUGGGUUUAUCAGAAAGACUGUAAUGGGGCUAAAACAGACCAAUCCAUUUUCUGAAGGGAGGAGCUGUGUUACAUGAGCAAGUAUAAAGAUUCCCCCAUUUCUGUACUCAGUGCUCCCUCUUUCCCAAGUUGUGGGACUUGCUUCUGGCCAGAAACCCUAAGACGAUUCCUUAAGAUUCUUCUUUAAUAAAUUUUCAUUGAUACCUGA